GACGAACGCUGGCGGCGUGCUUAACACAUGCAAAUCGAACGGAAAGGCCCUGCUUUUGUGGGGUGCUCGAGUGGCGAACGGGUGAGUAACACGUGAGUAACCUGCCCUUGACUUUGGGAUAACUUCAGGAAACUGGGGCUAAUACCGGAUAGGAGCUCCUGCUGCAUGGUGGGGGUUGGAAAGUUUCGGCGGUUGGGGAUGGACUCGCGGCUUAUCAGCUUGUUGGUGGGGUAGUGGCUUACCAAGGCUUUGACGGGUAGCCGGCCUGAGAGGGUGACCGGCCACCUUGGGACUGAGAUACGGCCCAGACUCCUACGGGAGGCAGCAGUGGGGAAUAUUGCACAAUGGGCGGAAGCCUGAUGCAGCAACGCCGCGUGCGGGAUGACGGCCUUCGGGUUGUAAACCGCUUUCGCCUGUGACGAAGCGUGAGUGACGGUAAUGGGUAAAGAAGCACCGGCUAACUACGUG
This 468-nucleotide ribosomal RNA is filed under the name uncultured bacterium. RNAcentral's name for it is "partial 16S ribosomal RNA". It matches the Rfam family "Bacterial small subunit ribosomal RNA", at positions 28 to 507 of the family's 1533-position model. The record is from RNAcentral.